AGGGUUCGAUUCUGGCUCAGGAUGAACGCUAGCGGCAGGCUUAAUACAUGCAAGUCGAACGGGAUUCAGGUAGCAAUACUUGAUGAGAGUGGCGCACGGGUGCGUAACACGUAUGCAACCUACCUUUAACUGGUGAAUAGCCCCGGGAAAUCGGGAUUAAUACACCAUAACAUUACAAGAGGGCAUCCUCUAAUAAUUAAAGAACUUCGGUUAAAGAUGGGCAUGCGGGACAUUAGCUAGUUGGUGAGGUAACGGCUCACCAAGGCAACGAUGUCUAGGGGUCCUGAGAGGGUUAUCCCCCACACUGGUACUGAGACACGGACCAGACUCCUACGGGAGGCAGCAGUAAGGAAUAUUGGUCAAUGGGCGCAAGCCUGAACCAGCCAUGCCGCGUGAAAGGAAGACGGCGCUAUGCGUUGUAAACUUCUUUUGUCAGGGAAUAAAUGUAGGUACGUGUACUUACUUGAAGGUACCUGAAGAAUAAGCAUCGGCUAACUCCGUGCCAGCCGCUGC
Molecule: ribosomal RNA, 513 nt
Filed under: uncultured bacterium
Lineage: Bacteria
Description: bacterial SSU rRNA
Rfam family: Bacterial small subunit ribosomal RNA
Source: RNAcentral